RNAcentral lists this ribosomal RNA (460 nucleotides) under uncultured bacterium. RNAcentral describes it as "partial 16S ribosomal RNA". It matches the Rfam family "Bacterial small subunit ribosomal RNA", at positions 338 to 795 of the family's 1533-position model. The record is from RNAcentral.
CCUACGGGGGGCAGCAGUGAGGAAUAUUGGUCAAUGGACGAGAGUCUGAACCAGCCAAGUAGCGUGAAGGAUGACUGCCCUAUGGGUUGUAAACUUCUUUUAUAUGGGAAUAAAAUGUUCCACGUGUGGGAUUUUGUAUGUACCAUAUGAAUAAGGAUCGGCUAACUCCGUGCCAGCAGCCGCGGUAAUACGGGGGAUCCGAGCGUUAUCCGGAUUGAUUGGGUUUAAAGGGAGCGUAGGUGGAUUGUUAAGUCAGUUGUGAAAGUUUGCGGCUCAACCGUAAAAUUGCAGUUGAAACUGGCAGUCUUGAGUGCAGUAGAGGUGGGCGGAAUGCGUGGUGUAGCGGUGAAAUGCUUAGAUAUCACGAAGAACUCCGAUUGCGAAGGCAGCUCACUGGACUGCAACUGACACUGAGGCUCGAAAGUGUGGGUAUCAAACAGGAUUAGAUACCCUUGUAGUC